RNAcentral lists this ribosomal RNA (253 nucleotides) under uncultured bacterium. RNAcentral's name for it is "partial 16S ribosomal RNA". It matches the Rfam family "Bacterial small subunit ribosomal RNA", at positions 524 to 776 of the family's 1533-position model. The record is from RNAcentral.
UACGAAGGGGGCUAGCGUUGUUCGGAAUCACUGGGCGUAAAGGGCGCGUAGGCGGCCUGAUAGGUCGGGGGUGAAAGCCUGUGGCUCAACCACAGAAUUGCCUUCGAUACUGUUAGGCUUGAGACCGGAAGAGGUAAGUGGAACUGCGAGUGUAGAGGUGAAAUUCGUAGAUAUUCGCAAGAACACCAGUGGCGAAGGCGGCUGACUGGUCCGGUUCUGACGCUGAGGCGCGAAAGCGUGGGGAGCAAACAGG